Molecule: long non-coding RNA, 250 nt
Organism: Dermacentor andersoni
Lineage: Eukaryota; Metazoa; Arthropoda; Arachnida; Ixodida; Ixodidae
Source: RefSeq, a predicted model, not a curated record
AAAAACUACCUGGUCCUGGUGAGCCGUGCUCCAUUACAAUGUACAGAGACAACGCAAACAACAAUUACUACGCUCCUUACGUGGGAGCCUGUCCCUGCAGCUAUCCUGAACUCACGACGUGUUACCGCAGCGACCCAAGGAGUAAAGGGUUAGGCAUUUGUAAGAGCCGACAAACGCACGAUUGGACAGCAGAUAGAUAACCUAAAGAGCUUCGUGUGUGAUGACUAAAAUAAAAAAUAAAUUAUUUCUA